This 440-nucleotide ribosomal RNA is filed under the name uncultured bacterium. RNAcentral's name for it is "partial 16S ribosomal RNA". It matches the Rfam family "Bacterial small subunit ribosomal RNA", at positions 338 to 795 of the family's 1533-position model. The record is from RNAcentral.
CCUACGGGCGGCUGCAGUGGGGAAUCUUGCACAAUGGGGGAAACCCUGAUGCAGCGACGCCGCGUGAAGGAUGAAGUCUUUCGGUAUGUAAACUUCUAUCAGCAGGGAAGAAAAUGACGGUAACUGACUAAGAAGCCUCGGCUAACUACGUGCCAGCAGCCGCGGUAAUACGUAGGGGGCAAGCGUUAUCCGGAUUUACUGGGUGUAAAGGGGGGUUAGACGGCAUGGCAAUACUGAUGUGAAAACCCGGGGCUCAACCCCGGGACUGUAUUGGAAACUGUCAGGCUAGAGAGACGGAGGGGCAAGUGGAAUUCCUAGUGUAGCGGUGAAAGGCGUAGAUAUUAGGAGGAACACCAGUGGCGAAGGCGGGUUACUGGACGGUUACUGACGUUGAGGCACGAAAGCGUAGGGAGCAAACAGGAUUAGAUACCCUAGUAGUC